UGAGGAAUAUUGGUCAAUGGGCGAGAGCCUGAACCAGCCAAGUAGCGUGAGGGAAGACUGCCCUAUGGGUUGUAAACCUCUUUUGAUUGGGAACAAAGAGCGCCACGUGUGGUGCGUUGCGUGUACCUUUCGAAUAAGCAUCGGCUAACUCCGUGCCAGCAGCCGCGGUAAUACGGAGGAUGCGAGCGUUAUCCGGAUUCAUUGGGUUUAAAGGGUGCGUAGGUGGCUUGUUAAGUCAGCGGUGAAAGUCAGUGGCUCAACCAUUGAAUUGCCGUUGAAACUGGCGAGCUUGAGUACGUACGGGGCAGGCGGAAUGCGUGGUGUAGCGGUGAAAUGCAUAGAUAUCACGCAGAACCCGAU
This 360-nucleotide ribosomal RNA is filed under the name uncultured Parabacteroides sp. RNAcentral's name for it is "bacterial SSU rRNA". It matches the Rfam family "Bacterial small subunit ribosomal RNA", at positions 355 to 712 of the family's 1533-position model. Lineage: Bacteria; Pseudomonadati; Bacteroidota; Bacteroidia; Bacteroidales; Tannerellaceae. The record is from RNAcentral.